GUGCCUAAUACAUGCAAGUAGAACGCUGAAGAGAGGAGCUUGCUCUUCUUGGAUGAGUUGCGAACGGGUGAGUAACGCGUAGGUAACCUGCCUUGUAGCGGGGGAUAACUAUUGGAAACGAUAGCUAAUACCGCAUAACAAUGGAUGACACAUGUCAUUUAUUUGAAAGGGGCAAUUGCUCCACUACAAGAUGGACCUGCGUUGUAUUAGCUAGUAGGUGAGGUAAUGGCUCACCUAGGCGACGAUACAUAGCCGACCUGAGAGGGUGAUCGGCCACACUGGGACUGAGACACGGCCCAGACUCCUACGGGAGGCAGCAGUAGGGAAUCUUCGGCAAUGGGGGCAACCCUGACCGAGCAACGCCGCGUGAGUGAAGAAGGUUUUCGGAUCGUAAAGCUCUGUUGUAAGUCAAGAACGGGUGUGAGAGUGGAAAGUUCACACUGUGACGGUAGCUUACCAGAAAGGGACGGCUAACUACGUGCCAGCAGCCGCGGUAAUACGUAGGUCCCGAGCGUUGUCCGGAUUUAUUGGGCGUAAAGCGAGCGCAGGCGGUUUGAUAAGUCUGAAGUUAAAGGCUGUGGCUCAACCAUAGUUCGCUUUGGAAACUGUCAAACUUGAGUGCAGAAGGGGAGAGUGGAAUUCCAUGUGUAGCGGUGAAAUGCGUAGAUAUAUGGAGGAACACCGGUGGCGAAAGCGGCUCUCUGGUCUGUAACUGACGCUGAGGCUCGAAAGCGUGGGGAGCGAACAGGAUUAGAUACCCUGGUAGUCCACGCCGUAAACGAUGAGUGCUAGGUGUUGGAUCCUUUCCGGGAUUCAGUGCCGCAGCUAACGCAUUAAGCACUCCGCCUGGGGAGUACGACCGCAAGGUUGAAACUCAAAGGAAUUGACGGGGGCCCGCACAAGCGGUGGAGCAUGUGGUUUAAUUCGAAGCAACGCGAAGAACCUUACCAGGUCUUGACAUCCCGAUGCUAUUUCUAGAGAUAGAAAGUUACUUCGGUACAUCGGUGACAGGUGGUGCAUGGUUGUCGUCAGCUCGUGUCGUGAGAUGUUGGGUUAAGUCCCGCAACGAGCGCAACCCCUAUUGUUAGUUGCCAUCAUUCAGUUGGGCACUCUAGCGAGACUGCCGGUAAUAAACCGGAGGAAGGUGGGGAUGACGUCAAAUCAUCAUGCCCCUUAUGACCUGGGCUACACACGUGCUACAAUGGUUGGUACAACGAGUUGCGAGUCGGUGACGGCGAGCUAAUCUCUUAAAGCCAAUCUCAGUUCGGAUUGUAGGCUGCAACUCGCCUACAUGAAGUCGGAAUCGCUAGUAAUCGCGGAUCAGCACGCCGCGGUGAAUACGUUCCCGGGCCUUGUACACACCGCCCGUCACACCACGAGAGUUUGUAACACCCGAAGUCGGUGAGGUAACCUUUUGGAGCCAGCCGCCUAAGGU
This 1435-nucleotide ribosomal RNA is filed under the name Streptococcus thermophilus. RNAcentral describes it as "bacterial SSU rRNA". It matches the Rfam family "Bacterial small subunit ribosomal RNA". The record is from RNAcentral. Lineage: Bacteria; Bacillati; Bacillota; Bacilli; Lactobacillales; Streptococcaceae.